UACGAGUUUAGUCACGAGUUCGGUUAAAGGCCAAACUCCUCGAGUCACGAGUGAGGACACGCGCGCCUACUGGAGCGUAUGUAAUCGUCGGCGACUCCAAGCGGAAGAAUCGCCUCCUCCCUUCGACGUCGGCGAGUCUCCUCUUCCCAUGUCGGAUCGCGAGGCGGAAAACGUCGGCGCCCUCGUGCGCCACCUCUCGCGCCUCCUCCAUCCCAAAAUCUCCGACGUCCUGGCCCACGCCGUCCACCACAAGGUGCUUCUCUGGUCUCGCAAGGAGGCUUGUCUGUUGGACCGGCCGUUGAAGGACGCCAAUGUGGUCCAAACUGUUGCGUCUGCUGUUGAGGAUGAAUUCAAGUUUGGCUUUGGGUUUUGGAAUCUUCGAUGACUGUCUCUAAUUUUUUUUUUCUUUAUUUUGAACUAUCGUAGUUGACUCUCUGACAGAUCGUGAGGAAUAGACUUGGUGGUUGCCGAAGGGUAGGGAAUCAGAAUAGAUGAAAUCGUUCUACAUUUUUGUUGUUUACUUCAGAACCACUUUUCCUUUUUGGUUGUAUUCACCUACCUAUAUGCUCGAUUUCAGUCUACAAGUAAUCUAGGCUGUAAUGUGCAGAUAAAUAUACAGUUUAGGUGGAUCUAACUUGGGCAUCCUGUGGCUUUA
Zingiber officinale is the source of this 655-nucleotide long non-coding RNA. RefSeq lists it as uncharacterized. The record is from RefSeq and is a predicted model, not a curated record. Lineage: Eukaryota; Viridiplantae; Streptophyta; Magnoliopsida; Zingiberales; Zingiberaceae. The transcript is spliced from 2 exons.